Molecule: ribosomal RNA, 93 nt
Filed under: uncultured bacterium
Lineage: Bacteria
Description: partial 16S ribosomal RNA
Source: RNAcentral
CCGCGUGAGUGAUGUAAGGCCUAGGUUGUAAAGCUCUUUUGUGCGGGAAGAUGAUGACGGUACCGCGAGAAUAAGCCCCGGCUAACUUCGUGC